RNAcentral lists this ribosomal RNA (253 nucleotides) under uncultured bacterium. RNAcentral's name for it is "partial 16S ribosomal RNA". It matches the Rfam family "Bacterial small subunit ribosomal RNA", at positions 524 to 776 of the family's 1533-position model. The record is from RNAcentral.
UACGUAGGGUGCGAGCGUUGUCCGGAUUUAUUGGGCGUAAAGAGCUCGUAGGCGGUUCCGUAAGUCGAGUGUGAAAAAUCUGGGCUCAACCCAGUGGAGCACUCGAUACUGCGGUGACUGGAGUACGGUAGAGGAGUGUGGAAUUCCUGGUGUAGCGGUGAAAUGCGCAGAUAUCAGGGGGAACACCGACGGCGAAGGCAGCACUCUGGGCCGGUACUGACGCUGAGGAGCGAAAGCGUGGGGAGCAAACAGG